UGACGGUACCUUAGGAGGAAGCCCCGGCUAACUACGUGCCAGCAGCCGCGGUAAUACGUAGGGGGCGAGCGUUGUCCGGAAUUACUGGGCGUAAAGGGCGCGUAGGCGGCCGCUUAAGUGAGGGGUGAAAGGCCACGGCUCAACCGUGGAAUUGCCUUUCAAACUGGGCGGCUAGAGUGCAGGAGAGGGAAGCGGAAUUCCCGGUGUAGCGGUGAAAUGCGUAGAGAUCGGGAGGAACACCAGUGGCGAAGGCGGCUUCCUGGACUGUAACUGACGCUGAGGCGCGAAAGCUGGGGGAGCAAACAGGAUUAGAUACCCUGGUAGUCCCAGCCGUAAACGAUGGAUGCUAGGUGUCGGAGGUAUCGACCCCUUCAGGUGCCGUGAGUAACGCAAUAAGCACCCCGCCU
RNAcentral lists this ribosomal RNA (407 nucleotides) under uncultured bacterium. Its description in RNAcentral is "bacterial SSU rRNA". It matches the Rfam family "Bacterial small subunit ribosomal RNA", at positions 470 to 874 of the family's 1533-position model. The record is from RNAcentral.